GGGGUGUCCCCAGAACCCCUUGGAGUGUCCCCAGCCCCUCUUGGGGUGUCCCCAGCCCCUCCUGGGGUGUCCCCAGCCACCCUUGGAGUGUCCCCAGCUCCAUCUUGGGGGUCCCCUCAGCACCAGGGUGGUGGCACCGAGCAGGGACACCCCAGGGGGUGACAUUGGCACCCAUCCCAAUUUUCCACCCAAAUUAGGGGGUGCAAAAAACCCCCAAAAAACCAAAACAACAAAAACCCCGAGACCCCAGAGCUUGACGGGAGGAUGAAUCUGAGUUUGCAAAAUCCCCACAAACCCAGAAAAAACGAGCAGGAAUCGCCUAAAAUCAACCAAACCCAAGCAGGAAGCCAUCAGCAGCCAUCUGUGCCACCAGGAGCACCUCUGCUCCUAGGAUGGGAUGUACAAUAAUAAUAAAAAUAAUGAAGAAACCACAAAAAAAUAAAAUCUACAUACAUAUGUACAGGCUACAUUGUAAACAGCACAAAAAAAAAGAAAAAAAGGAAAAAAAAUAGCUGAGAAGUGUGGUUGAACUUUUUAAGAGAAUAUUAUAAAUACUGUAAUAUAUCAUUUUAUUUUAUUGGCAUGCCUUUUUGUAAAUACAAAGAACUACAAAAAAAAAAUUAUAGAAUGGCUUCUGGCUUAUGCCAUUGUCCAUGGUUAUUUUUAUUUUUUUAAGAUUUUUUCUGUUGUCCUUAGAUUUUAGAUAGCCAGGAAAUGUCCCCCAAAGGAAAAAAACACAACAAAAAAAAUCCAAACGAAAACCUAAUCCCCCCUCAAAAUAGAUUUUAACAAAAGCUUUAUUGCAAGCGGUAUUUGCAGCAGCAAAAUGUCUAUUUUUGGGUUCCAAUGUGCAAUAAGUCGACCACUUCUAUGCAAGAUUUGGCUGAAAUCCAUAAUUGUUCUUAGGCUGGGCUGAGUCUUGUAGGUGACGCUCGGUGCGUUGGCGUUUGUGCUGGCAACUCAUGAAGCUGCUCAAAGACUUUAAAAUAAAAAACUCCCUUCAAACUCUGGAGAGAUUUUAUUUUAUUUUAUUUUAUUUUAUUUUUUAUGUUUUAUCAGUGUGAGAGCCGAGGUUGGGAGGGAGAGGAGGUUCCUCAGCUUUGUGUUGGCUGGAGUUGGUUUUUGUGCUCAAAAAAAAAAAGAGUGGAAAGGGCAUUUUUGGCGUUUUGGGGCUGUUUUUGGGGUUGUUUUUUCUCUUUUCCUCCCCAGGGCUGAUGUUUCCCUCGGGCUUGGAGGAAAUUUUGGGAAAAAAAACCUGGGGGACCUUCCAAAUGUCCAGAUUCAAUCAGGGAAUUCUGGAUUCAGGGGUUUGGGGGUGAAGUUCAGGGGGGUGGUGACGUAGCCAAAAUUUAAAAUCACAUUGAGUAUUUCCCUUUCCUCCCCCACCUCUAAAAUCCUCUUUUUGGGUGAAUUUGUGACCCCAGGAGUGAGGAGGGCGUUAAUGAAACGCCACUCCCAGCUGCUUUAUUCACUUUCCUCUUCACCUUUUCUUAAAAUAUAGAAGCCAAUGUCGAGGAAAAAAAUAAAUAAAAAUUCAGGUAACCCCAUGGGGUUCCCUAGAGGCCACACCUGAGUUCUGAACGAUUUUUCUGCUGGAAAAAAAAAUAAAUUAAAAACUCAACCAAACCAACAAUGUUAAGGCUGCAAAAGCUCAGUAGUGGAGAUUAGAAUAUUAGAAAUUACAUGGUGGCUCAUGAUGGUCUUACCCAACUUGAUUAGCAAUUAACACAAGCCAAAAAGGAAAUUAAUUAAACGUUGCCCUUUUCACUGGAGCAGGGAGGGGUGUCUGGGUUGUUUCCCUGGCUGCGUUCUCCCUCCUCCUCCUCCUCCUCUGUGCUUCCUCCCAGCUCCUCGGGGCGCUUUGGUGGAGCAGGAGGAGCUGCUGGAAGGGUUUUGGUGCCAGGUUGGUGUUGGGUGUGCCAGGUGUGCCCAGAUGUGCCAGGUGUGCCCAGGUGUGCCCAGGUGUGCCCAGGUGUGCCAGGUGUGCCAGGUGUGCCCAGAUGUGCCCAGGUGUGCCCAGGUGUGCCAGGUGUGCCAGGUGUGCCCAGGUGUGCCCAGGUGUGCCAGGUGUGCCCAGGUGUGGCUGAGCCCUGCUGGGGCUGUGGGGUCGGUGGUGCUGGCUCAGGGCUCCCCUUGCUGGGGGAGGUGGGGACCCCAGGCAGGUGAGGAACCGAGGCAGGUGAGGAUCUCAGGUGAGGACCUCAGGUGAGGGUCCCAGGCAGGUGAGGACCUCAGGUGAGGACCCUCAGGUGAGGAUGCUCCGUGCUGGAUCUGCUCUGGCAGGGGAGGACGCUGUUCUGUGGUGGCUCAGCCUGGAACUGCUCACCCUGCAGCCCCUGAUCCUAGAACCCCUCACCUGGAACCCCUCACCUGGAACCCCUCACCUGGAACCCCCCAUCCCAUCUCCUCUCAACCCCUCAGCCCUGUUUCACCUCGGGGAGGGGAGGAGGAGGAGGAUGGAGCGGGAGGAAGGCGGCGGAAGGGACGGGCUGGGAGUUCCCCGCGGCUGAACCUUUGAGUUCCCUUUGUACUGUACAUCUUUUUACUUUGGGAUUUGCAAUAAAGAGGUUCUGUCCAUCUUGUUUUAACAA
Long non-coding RNA from Prinia subflava (tawny-flanked prinia), 2591 nucleotides. RefSeq lists it as uncharacterized. The record is from RefSeq and is a predicted model, not a curated record. The transcript is spliced from 2 exons. NCBI's taxonomy places the organism in Eukaryota, Metazoa, Chordata, Aves, Passeriformes, Cisticolidae.